This 433-nucleotide ribosomal RNA is filed under the name uncultured bacterium. RNAcentral describes it as "partial 16S ribosomal RNA". It matches the Rfam family "Bacterial small subunit ribosomal RNA", at positions 29 to 507 of the family's 1533-position model. The record is from RNAcentral.
AACGAACGCUGGCGGCAUGCCUAACACAUGCAAGUCGAACGAUCCCUUCGGGGAUAGUGGCGCACGGGUGCGUAACGCGUGGGAACCUGCCCUUAGGUUCGGAAUAACUCAGAGAAAUUUGAGCUAAUACCGGAUAAUGUCUUCGGACCAAAGAUUUAUCGCCUUUGGAUGGGCCCGCGUUGGAUUAGCUAGUUGGUGGGGUAAAGGCCUACCAAGGGGACGAUCCAUAGCUGGUCUGAGAGGAUGGUCAGCCACACUGGGACUGAGACACGGCCCGGACUCUUACGGGAGGCGGCAGGGGGGAAUAUUGGAAAAUGGGCGAAAGGCUGAUCCAGCAAUGCCGCGUGAGUGAUGAAGGCCUUAGGGUUGUAAAGCUCUUUUAACCGGGAUGAUAAUGACAGUACCGGGAGAAUAAGCCCCGGCUAACUCCGUG